This 486-nucleotide ribosomal RNA is filed under the name uncultured bacterium. RNAcentral describes it as "bacterial SSU rRNA". It matches the Rfam family "Bacterial small subunit ribosomal RNA", at positions 29 to 532 of the family's 1533-position model. The record is from RNAcentral.
AGCGAACGCUGGCGGCAGGCUUAACACAUGCAAGUCGAACGGGCGUAGCAAUACGUCAGUGGCAGACGGGUGAGUAACGCGUGGGAACGUACCUUUUGGUUCGGAACAACACAGGGAAACUUGUGCUAAUACCGGAUAAGCCCUUACGGGGAAAGAUUUAUCGCCGAAAGAUCGGCCCGCGUCUGAUUAGCUAGUUGGCGGGGUAAAGCCCACCAAGGCGACGAUCGAUAGCUGGUCUGAGAGGAUGAUCAGCCACACUGGAACUGAGACACGGUCCAGACUCCUACGGGAGGCAGCAGUAGGGAAUAUUGGACAAUGGGGGCAACCCUGAUCCAGCCAUGCCGCGUGAGUGAAGAAGGCCCUCGGGUUGUAAAGCUCUUUUGUCCGGAAAGAAAAGCAAUCGGUUAAUACCCGGUUGUUCUGACGGUACCGGAAGAAUAAGCACCGGCUAAACUUCGUGCCAGCAGCCGCGGUAUGUGCGCGAGU